GUUGGUGGUAUAGUGGUGAGCAUA
This 24-nucleotide non-coding RNA is filed under the name Xenopus tropicalis (tropical clawed frog). Lineage: Eukaryota; Metazoa; Chordata; Amphibia; Anura; Pipidae. RNAcentral also lists the same sequence under 6 other names. The record is from RNAcentral.